GGAUCGUUAGCUCAAUUGGUUAGAGCAAGGGACUUUUAAUCCCGAGGUUCGGGGUUCGAGUCCCUGACGGUCCA
This is a transfer RNA of 74 nucleotides. It matches the Rfam family "tRNA". Rfam says of the family: Transfer RNA (tRNA) molecules are approximately 80 nucleotides in length. Their secondary structure includes four short double-helical elements and three loops (D, anti-codon, and T loops). The record is from Rfam.